CACGUAGGGGGCAAGCGUUGUCCGGAUUUAUUGGGCGUAAAGAGCUCGUAGGUGGUUCGGUAAGUCGGGUGUUAAACCCCCAGGCUCAACCUGGGGACGCCACUCGAUACUGCUGUGACUAGAGUCCGGUAGGGGAGCGUGGAAUUCCUGGUGUAGCGGUGAAAUGCGCAGAUAUCAGGAGGAACACCAGCGGCGAAGGCGGCGCUCUGGGCCGGUACUGACACUGAGGAGCGAAAGCGUGGGUAGCAAACAAG
Molecule: ribosomal RNA, 254 nt
Filed under: uncultured bacterium
Lineage: Bacteria
Description: partial 16S ribosomal RNA
Rfam family: Bacterial small subunit ribosomal RNA
Source: RNAcentral